RNAcentral lists this ribosomal RNA (253 nucleotides) under uncultured bacterium. Its description in RNAcentral is "partial 16S ribosomal RNA". It matches the Rfam family "Bacterial small subunit ribosomal RNA", at positions 524 to 776 of the family's 1533-position model. The record is from RNAcentral.
UACGGAGGAUGCAAGCGUUAUCCGGAAUGAUUGGGCGUAAAGCGUCCGCAGGUGGCUGUGUAAGUCUGCUGUUAAAGAGUCUAGCUCAACUAGAUAAAGGCAGUGGAAACUGCACGGCUAGAGUGCGUUCGGGGCAGAGGGAAUUCCUGGUGUAGCGGUGAAAUGCGUAGAGAUCAGGAAGAACACCGGUGGCGAAGGCGCUCUGCUAGGCCGCAACUGACACUGAGGGACGAAAGCUAGGGGAGCGAAUGGG